CAGAAGAGAGACAGGAUCUAG
RNAcentral lists this microRNA (21 nucleotides) under Mus musculus (house mouse). Its description in RNAcentral is "mmu-miR-6957-5p". Lineage: Eukaryota; Metazoa; Chordata; Mammalia; Rodentia; Muridae. The record is from miRBase by way of RNAcentral.